Molecule: ribosomal RNA, 900 nt
Filed under: uncultured bacterium
Lineage: Bacteria
Description: bacterial SSU rRNA
Rfam family: Bacterial small subunit ribosomal RNA
Source: RNAcentral
UGCAGUCGAGCGCACUCUUCGGAGUGAGCGGCGGACGGGUUAGUAACGCGUGGGAACGUGCCCUUUUCUAAGGAAUAGCCACUGGAAACGGUGAGUAAUACCUUAUACGCCCUUCGGGGGAAAGAUUUAUCGGAGAAGGAUCGGCCCGCGUUAGAUUAGGUAGUUGGUGGGGUAACGGCCUACCAAGCCGACGAUCUAUAGCUGGUUUGAGAGGAUGAUCAGCAACACUGGGACUGAGACACGGCCCAGACUUCUACGGAAGGCAGCAGUGGGGAAUCUUGGACAAUGGGCGCAAGCCUGAUCCAGCCAUGCCGCGUGAGUGAUGAAGGCCUUAGGGUCGUAAAGCUCUUUCGCCAGGGAUGAUAAUGACAGUACCUGGUAAAGAAACCCCGGCUAACUCCGUGCCAGCAGCCGCGGUAAUACGGAGGGGGUUAGCGUUGUUCGGAAUUACUGGGCGUAAAGCGCGCGUAGGCGGACUAAUUAGUCAGAGGUGAAAUCCCAGGGCUCAACCCUGGAACUGCCUUUGAUACUGUUAGUCUAGAGUUCGAGAGAGGUGAGUGGAAUUCCGAGUGUAGAGGUGAAAUUCGUAGAUAUUCGGAGGAACACCAGUGGCGAAGGCGGCUCACUGGCUCGAUACUGACGCUGAGGUGCGAAAGUGUGGGGAGCAAACAGGAUUAGAUACCCUAGUAGUCCACACCGUAAACGAUGAAUGCCAGUCGUCGGGUAGUAUACUAUUCGGUGACACACCUAACGGAUUAAGCAUUCCGCCUGGGGAGUACGGUCGCAAGANUAAAACUCAAAGGAAUUGACGGGGGCCCGCACAAGCGGUGGANCAUGUGGUUUAAUUCGAAGCAACGCGCANAANCUUACCAACCCUUGACAUCCUGUGCCACUCCCAGA